Molecule: ribosomal RNA, 858 nt
Filed under: Phellinus xeranticus
Lineage: Eukaryota; Fungi; Basidiomycota; Agaricomycetes; Hymenochaetales; Hymenochaetaceae
Description: partial large subunit ribosomal RNA
Rfam family: Eukaryotic large subunit ribosomal RNA
Source: RNAcentral
CCCCUAGUAACUGCGAGUGAACCGGGAUGAGCUCAAAUUUAAAAUCUGGCGGUUCUGCCGUCCGAGUUGUAAUCUGGAGAAGCGUUUUCCGCGUCGGACCGUGUACAAGUCUCUUGGAAUAGAGCGUCAUAGAGGGUGAGAAUCCCGUCCAUGACACGGACUCCCGGUGCUUUGUGAUACGCUCUCAAAGAGUCGAGUUGUUUGGGAAUGCAGCUCAAAAUGGGUGGUAAAUUCCAUCUAAAGCUAAAUAUUGGCGAGAGACCGAUAGCGAACAAGUACCGUGAGGGAAAGAUGAAAAGCACUUUGGAAAGAGAGUUAAACAGUACGUGAAAUUGUUGAAAGGGAAACGCUUGAAGUCAGUCGCGUCGUACGGAGCUCAGCCUUGCUUCUGCUUGGUGUAUUCUCCGUGUCGACGGGUCAACGUCAAUUUUGACCGGUGGAAAAGGGCCUAGGGAAUGUGGCGUUGUUUCGGCGACGUGUUAUAGCCUUAGGUCGUAUGCAUCGGUUGGGAUUGAGGACCGCAGCACGCCCUUGUGGCCGAGGGUUCGCCCUACGUUCGUGCUUAGGAUGUUGGCAAAAUGGCUUUAAGCGACCCGUCUUGAAACACGGACCAAGGAGUCUAACAUGCCUGCGAGUGUUCGGGUGGAAAACCCUUGCGCAUAAUGAAAGUGAAAGUUGGGAUCCUUCGUAAGGGGGUGCACCGACGCCCGGCCCUGAAGUUCUCUGACGGUGCUGCGGUAGAGCAUGUAUGUUGGGACCCGAAAGAUGGUGAACUAUGCCUGAAUAGGGUGAAGCCAGAGGAAACUCUGGUGGAGGCUCGUAGCGAUUCUGACGUGCAAAUCGAUCGUCAAAUUUGGG